CGCCAUUUUGUGGCGGGUAUAACUGAGAGAGGCAGCGCUGGCUUAGUCCUAUUGCAGGGCUGAGCGCUCGACAGUGGCUGCUGUUUCUCUGCAUCGUGUGUGAGUGGGCCCAGGUUUCGUUUUGUGUCGGCGUUGCUUUCCCACUUAAGUCGCGAUUCCAUGAGCUACGGUCGGCCUCCGCCUGACGUGGAGGGAAUGACCUCUCUCAAGGUUGAUAACCUAACGUACCGAACCUCCCCGGAGACCCUGCGCCGGGUGUUCGAGAAGUAUGGCAGGGUGGGCGACGUGUACAUCCCCCGGGACCGCUACACCAAGGAGAGCCGGGGCUUCGCCUUCGUUCGCUUCCACGACAAGCGCGAUGCCGAAGACGCGAUGGACGCCAUGGAUGGGGCCGUGCUGGACGGGCGGGAGCUGAGGGUGCAGAUGGCCCGGUACGGCCGGCCUCCCGAUUCCCACCACGGAAGGAGAGGGCCCCCUCCUCGCAGAUACGGCGACUACGGCCGGCGGAGCAGAAGCCCCAGGAGGCGACGUCGCAGCCGUUCCAGAAGCAAGAGCAGGUCAAGGUCCCGCAGCAGGUCUCGCUACAGCCGCUCAAAGUCCCGCUCUCGCACAAGGUCCCGCACCCGGUCCAGCUCAAAGUCUCGCUCGGCAAGGAGAUCCAAGUCUAAGUCAUCGUCCGCGUCCAGGUCUCGCUCCCGCUCCAGAUCUAGGUCCAGAACAAGAAAUUCGCCGCCGCCUCCACAGAACUCCAACUCCAAAUCCAGAUCCCGCUCCCAGAGCCCUCCUAAGUCGCCAGAGGAAGAGGGCGCCGUGUCUUCCUGAAGCUGCGGGCUCCAGUUGCUUAAGGAGUAUUGGGCUGUAUUGCAGAUAUUAAGUGGUUUUUCCUGAUCCUCCAGGGACCAGUUUCUGUGGGCGUUUAUUGGAGCAGAGUCAACAGCCGGAAUUCUACAAGCUGGACAACAUCCCUGGGGUGAUAAUUCAUUCAUUAGCUCAUCAGCCCAUGGAGAAACACAGAGCAAAGCAAUGGCCUGCCGAAAAGGUGGUUAUUUGUAUGAUUUCUUAAAACUUUUUACCUGUUUUCAGUUGCGCUUCGUGUCGCAAGACUUUAUACAUUUUAUGUGCAAUUUUGUUCCCUGUUAUUCCGAUUUCUUGUAAUUUAGUGAAAUGACCGACUACAGAUUUCAAUAUUGGCUUGGAUGUUUGAGGUAACUUGCUUUUGUCAAAGUAUCAUUGAAAUUCUGUGGGGGAAUGAAGGUUAUCUCACAGCUAGUAUGCUCCACAGCCCUACUUAUAGUGCAUGGGCGCUGUGCCUCGUCAGAUUGACCGGCCAGGGUUCCACCCAGUCAUAUGUUCUUGUAAUACGUGAGCCUUGAAGUGUGGGGGUAAAAAAUGUUCAUGUGACAAUGUUGCAAGGGAGUGUUUUUGUUUGAUUACAACUCUAAUUUCUUCUCUUGUGUAUUUUUGUGCACUAGGCGCAGUUGUGUAGCAGUUGUAUUGCUGGUUAGCUGUUUAAGGUGGCGUGUUGCAGUGCAGAGUGCUUGGCUGUUUCCUGUUAUCUCCUGAUUGCUCCUGUGCUGCCUUGUCGUGCAGAAAACACAAUGGCUGUCCAGUUUAUUAGGAUGCCUGACGACAACUGCACAUCCAGUCGCCCGGGCCUUGCAUAUAAUAACGGAGCAUACAGUGAGCACAUCUAGCUGAUGAGAAACACCUUUAUGUUUUAAACCUGGUAAAUCCUGAGCAUCAUUGUGUGAUAAUAUCCCAUGCUGGUGUCAUUCCUUUGUAUGUACUGAUCUGCAUAUCUCUGGCUCUCAUUCUCUACUAUAACCACUGUUUCUGUAGUAAAUAAACUUUUUUUUUUCUUUA
This is an RNA transcript of Xenopus tropicalis (tropical clawed frog), 1863 nucleotides long. It is a transcript of the gene named serine/arginine-rich splicing factor 2, with no coding region annotated. The record is from RefSeq and is marked provisional. NCBI's taxonomy places the organism in Eukaryota, Metazoa, Chordata, Amphibia, Anura, Pipidae. The transcript is spliced from 4 exons.